AGAGUUUGAUCAUGGCUCAGGACGAACGCUGGCGGCGUGCCUAAUACAUGCAAGUAGAACGCUGAAGAGAGGAGCUUGCUCUUCUUGGAUGAGUUGCGAACGGGUGAGUAACGCGUAGGUAACCUGCCUUGUAGCGGGGGAUAACUAUUGGAAACGAUAGCUAAUACCGCAUAACAAUGGAUGACACAUGUCAUUUAUUUGAAAGGGGCAAUUGUUCCACUACAAGAUGGACCUGCGUUGUAUUAGCUAGUAGGUGAGGUAAUGGCUCACCUAGGCGACGAUACAUAGCCGACCUGAGAGGGUGAUCGGCCACACUGGGACUGAGACACGGCCCAGACUCCUACGGGAGGCAGCAGUAGGGAAUCUUCGGCAAUGGGGGCAACCCUGACCGAGCAACGCCGCGUGAGUGAAGAAGGUUUUCGGAUCGUAAAGCUCUGUUGUAAGUCAAGAACGGGUGUGAGAGUGGAAAGUUCACACUGUGACGGUAGCUUACCAGAAAGGGACGGCUAACUACGUGCCAGCAGCCGCGGUAAUACGUAGGUCCCGAGCGUUGUCCGGAUUUAUUGGGCGUAAAGCGAGCGCAGGCGGUUUGAUAAGUCUGAAGUUAAAGGCUGUGGCUCAACCAUAGUUCGCUUUGGAAACUGUCAAACUUGAGUGCAGAAGGGGAGAGUGGAAUUCCAUGUGUAGCGGUGAAAUGCGUAGAUAUAUGGAGGAACACCGGUGGCGAAAGCGGCUCUCUGGUCUGUAACCGACGCUGAGGCUCGAAAGCGUGGGGAGCGAACAGGAUUAGAUACCCUGGUAGUCCACGCCGUAAACGAUGAGUGCUAGGUGUUGGAUCCUUUCCGGGAUUCAGUGCCGCAGCUAACGCAUUAAGCACUCCGCCUGGGGAGUACGACCGCAAGGUUGAAACUCAAAGGAAUUGACGGGGGCCCGCACAAGCGGUGGAGCAUGUGGUUUAAUUCGAAGCAACGCGAAGAACCUUACCAGGUCUUGACAUCCCGAUGCUAUUUCUAGAGAUAGAAAGUUACUUCGGUACAUCGGUGACAGGUGGUGCAUGGUUGUCGUCAGCUCGUGUCGUGAGAUGUUGGGUUAAGUCCCGCAACGAGCGCAACCCCUAUUGUUAGUUGCCAUCAUUCAGUUGGGCACUCUAGCGAGACUGCCGGUAAUAAACCGGAGGAAGGUGGGGAUGACGUCAAAUCAUCAUGCCCCUUAUGACCUGGGCUACACACGUGCUACAAUGGUUGGUACAACGAGUUGCGAGUCGGUGACGGCGAGCUAAUCUCUUAAAGCCAAUCUCAGUUCGGAUUGUAGGCUGCAACUCGCCUACAUGAAGUCGGAAUCGCUAGUAAUCGCGGAUCAGCACGCCGCGGUGAAUACGUUCCCGGGCCUUGUACACACCGCCCGUCACACCACGAGAGUUUGUAACACCCGAAGUCGGUGAGGUAACCUUUUGGAGCCAGCCGCCUAAGGUGGGACAGAUGAUUGGGGUGAAGUCGUAACAAGGUA
Molecule: ribosomal RNA, 1506 nt
Filed under: metagenome
Description: bacterial SSU rRNA
Rfam family: Bacterial small subunit ribosomal RNA
Source: RNAcentral